CUUUUUAGGGCAAAGCACCUGCGGCAUAUGGAAGUUUCCAGGCUAGGGGUCAAAUUGGAGCUGUAACUGUCGGCCUUUACCACAGCCACGGCAACGUGGGGUCUGGGCUGCAUCUACAACCUACACCACAGCUCACAUCAACGCUGGCCCCUUAACCCGCUGCGAGGCCAGGGAUAGAACCUGCAUCCUCACGGAUACUCGUGGGGCUCGUUUCUGCUAAGCCACAGUGGGAACGCCUCUUAUGCGUGACUUUUGGCCAAAGGGACCGGCUCUACCAAAAACAGGGACUGAAGCAUACCCAGGUGACUAUCUGGCUCACCUGAUUCUCUUCCCAGUGGGGCUUUGAAACAUGGGGACAAACUUUAGACACAGAGAAUGGAGCCAUUGCCUCUGUCGGGAUGGGAGAAAUUCACAGAUGUCUUGACAGCAGCUACCUCGCGACACUGAGUGGUAGCGGACCACUGGAAAAACUCUGGGUAAGAAAGACUAUCAAAGGAGCAUCAGGUCCAGAUUGCAAAUUGCUUUAGCAGCUAAAACAGGCAGAAAGAUAGAGCAACUCACGCUAAUCCAGGGGGUUUAUGCUUCGGGCUGGCUGCCUCUGACGCCCACCCUUGACCCAGCCCAUUCAUCAGUAUUUUGAUAAGCAGAUUCCCCUGCAGAGCUUCUUAAUCUGGGUUCCCAGAGGAGUCUUGCAGAGAUUAAUGAGAGCCCUGCCGCUGCCUGCCAGCUCUUGAGGGUGGGGCAGUUAAAUCACAAAAGGGAAGGGACUGGUCGCGGAUGCCCAAACUCUCCCAUCACUGGACCUGACGCCUCUAGGGGUCAACUCAGUAUCUUUUCAACUUAAAUACCUGGAUCUGUUUUUAUUUUUAUUUUUAAUCCACUUUCUCCUUGGUAUCUAGGGAAAUUAAAGCCCUGGCUCACAUCUUCCUUAAGGCCAGCUUUUAGCCAGAGCCAUGACAGCAUCUGGAGCUCAACAAAGAUUAGGGGCAGAGGCAGGCAGGAAUGCCAGGGACAGAGAGGAAAUCCAGUGCUACCAAGGGCACCACCAAUGUGCUGUACCCGCCAUGCAGCCCUCCCACCAAAUACCCUCUGGCUACAGUCCCCUGACAGUGGUGGGAGGGGAAGCUGGGGCUGCAACCCCAAAGCCUGAGCCCUCACAGAAGUGCAGCCCCUAAGACAAAAAAAAAAAAAAAAAGGGAGUUCCCAUCGUGGUGCAGUGGUUAACGAAUCCGACUAGGAACCGUGAGGUUGCGGGUUUGGUCCUUGCCCUUGCUCAGUGGGUUAACGAUCCGGCGUUGCCAUGAGCUGUGGUGUAGGUUGCAGACGCGGCUCAGAUCCCGCGCUGCUGUGGCUCUGGCGUAGGCCGGUGGCUACAGCUCCGAUUCCACCCCUAGCCUGGGAACUUCCAUAUGCCACGGGAGUGGCCCAAGAAAUAGCAAAAAAAGACAAAAAAAAAAAAAGAAGGCUGGUCUCUGCUCUUGGUGUUGCCUAAUAGCUCCUCCAAUUGUUAUUCAUUUAUGGAUUUAUUUUGCUUUUGAUUUUAUUUUGCUUUUACAUAUUUAUUUUUUAGGCUGCCCCUCGGCUUAUGGAGUUCUCAGGCCAGGGAUCAGAUGUGAGUCGAAGCCGGGACGAAGCCGCAGGUGCAGCAAUGCCAGAUCCUCAACCCACAGUGCCAAGCCAGGGGUGGAACCCGCAUCUCAGCAUUCCCAAGAGGCUGCCGAUCCCACUGCACCACAGCGGGAACUCUGCAGGCUGGGUUCCCUGUGAGACGUGAUCUGGGGAAAUUUUCUGGGCUGUCCUCUGGAGAGAUGGGACUUAUUUUGAAGUAAGAUGUGAUGAGGGAACCCUAGAUUUGAGUUCAGUUUGUGAAUUAUUGGGGCGGGGGGGGGGGUAAAAUCAGGCUUACCGAGCUUGUAGGACCUUGCAUGUGCUGGAAGAAAAAGUCUUACAAAUUCCAAGUGACAGGUAUGGCAAGAAGGAGGAGGACGAGCCGGGACAGCAGCUUCAACUCUGGCUGCUCCCGUGCUGACAUGUGUCCACUGAACGCAGCCUCAGGACUUGGGGGAAAAAGACCGUCACGCGGAGCUCCGAGCUCACGAGCAGGUCUAAAGGGACCGGCAAGUCAACUAACAAAGGCGUCGGGGGUGGGAACCCCCCUGGGUCUUCCCUCGCCCCUCCUGUGACCACGGCUGGCAUCUCAGGCCCGCUGUCCGUGAACAGACAGGGAAAUAGCUAACUACCCAGCUGAGUCCACGUUCAGCCCCAGAGGAAGGUCGACGGCUGACUGUCUAGGAGUCUGCGGUCUCACUGACACCAGCAGCUCUCAGAGUGUGGAGCACAGCUGCCCUCCGUCUAUGGCUGUGGACUGGGGGGGGGGACAAACAUGUGCUGGGAGGGGGGCCGUCCCAGCCCCUCCGGCCAGGCUCCUCAGAGGCUGGCGCAUCACCCAGCCCCCAGGUGGGGGCAUCAUGGAGGAGACCACGGCUGCCCCUGCAUCAGCUGUCCUGGUUCAGCAGACCUUCCUUCUUUAGCCAGACCUGGAAGCCAAAGAGGUCAGGCCAACCUGCAGCUCGGGGUCCAGCCCAGACGGGCGGCUACCUGGCCAGCCUCCUGGCCUCUGUAUGCGGCGCAGCCUGCUCUGGAUGGUAGGCUCCCUGCCCAGGAUUUGCAGUGAACUUGGCUGCUCCCUGCGGGAUUUACUGGGUCUGGACCUGCCCGCGGUAGAAGGUCAAGUGUCAGUUCAACGAGGGAGCCCCUGUCCCCCUUCGUCUUCCUGACUUCCCUUCUCCCCAGCCACCUUUUCUUCUCCACACUGGCCUUCUCUUGGCUCAGUUUCUCUCUGACCUUGACCGACCUCUGGUGUGCUGGGUAUUUUUCCAAGGACCACGUUGGCCCAUCAGACGUGCAAAAGGGCAGGAGCCUGGUCUCUCCUCCAACGAGCCACCCAGCGCCGUGCAGUCCGCAGCACCAAGACACAGAGAGGCCCUGAUGUGCUAAUGGUCCUUCAGAGCUCAGCUGAAGAGCUGGACAAGACUCCAAGAGUCCCGACUCGCCACACACAUCCUGACUCAAACUCAGUCUUUGUCUCAAGGGUGAUGGAUGCCAGGCUACCCGUGACAGGAAGGGCAACCUCUGAGUAUUUCCAACACAACAGGCAAAGCUCUCACCCGUGGAGUUUAUAUUAUGUCAUCAUCCCCCAGGUUCCUCGCAGCCCCCAGGACAGGCGGCCAGGGCGGGUCCUUGCAAUCCUUCGGUCUUUAAAUGGUUAUUGAAGACAUUCCCUCUCAGAAAGGGGCACUGAGCGGAGACUGCAGGGAGACCACUGGUCCGCCUUGGGCGUUCCUGGACCAGAUGCUCACCCAGUGUUCCCAAGCACAGUCUUCCUAAGAGCGGCACGAGGCGGGAUGGUUGGGGCACCCUCGUUGUGGCCCCAGUUGCCCCAAGCCAUCACCUGCCUACCGCCAGUAAAGGGUCAACAGAAAAUAUCUCAGACUGUUCAGGGCCACGUGCCAUCUCUGCUGCAUAUACUCUAUUCCUCGAAGUUUAUUUUUUAAAAACUUUUUGAAAAUGUAAGGACCACUCUUAGCGUGAGGUGCAGAACAAGACAGGCAGCAGGUGGGUUUGGCUCACAGACAGGCCACGGCUUGCAGAGCCCUGGCCAAUCGGAAGAAGCCACGACAUUUUUUAUCAGUCCUCCCCAAGCAGCACCGCCACCCCCGCCCUCCCAGUCAUGACACCUCCAGACCCUCCCACGUACCCAAGGACUGCCCCUGACUCUGCUCCAACGGCUCUCGGCAUCUGUGCUCAGGCCCAGGAGGGCCUCCCUCAGCAAACAUUUCAUGGAGAAAGCACGUCGUACAGAUGCCAACAACGAGCUCCUGUGUCUCUCUCAUGCUUAACCGGGGAUGCUCAAGGCCCAGACGGCCUCAUCCUGCACUGUGAGGGCUCACCUGACCGCACUCGUGUGGCCGUGUCCACACAUCUCCCCACCAUAACAGUGCCACUUAGUUAAUGACUUCACUUGGGUUCUUCUACUCCCCCUCCCGUGUGGGUACAGGGUGGGCAGAGCAAGGGCAAGACAGAUCCCAUCAGCUGCGUCUCGCAGCAUAGCCAGGACCCAUCACUCCCCACCUCCACUGUAGCACCCAGGCCACACCCCUUCUCCCUGGAUGCCCACCGCCACAGCCUCCCACCUGAGCCCCCUGCUUCUGUCUCUGCCCUCCUUCCUCUCCCUUGUGCAAAGCCCCCAGAGGCGUCCCAUCUCGUGCAGAGUAAAAGUCAACACCUCUGGGAGUUCCCAUCGUGGCACAGUGGAAACAAAUCUAACUAGGAA
RNAcentral lists this long non-coding RNA (4333 nucleotides) under Sus scrofa (pig). Its description in RNAcentral is "lncRNA (ENSSSCG00065010697.1)". The record is from RNAcentral. Lineage: Eukaryota; Metazoa; Chordata; Mammalia; Artiodactyla; Suidae.